RNAcentral lists this ribosomal RNA (702 nucleotides) under Dehalococcoidia bacterium. RNAcentral's name for it is "partial 23S ribosomal RNA". It matches the Rfam family "Bacterial large subunit ribosomal RNA", at positions 1 to 670 of the family's 2925-position model. Lineage: Bacteria; Bacillati; Chloroflexota; Dehalococcoidia. The record is from RNAcentral.
GGUCAAAGUACAAAGGGCGCGUGGUGGAUGCCUUGGCGUCAAGAGCCGAUGAAGGGCGUGGCAAGACUGCGAAAAGCCUCGGUCAGCUGUCUAGCAAGCUUAGCCGGGGAUUCCCGAAUGGGGCAACCCACUCCGUGGUAACGCGGAGUUCUCGCUGCAAAGCGAGAGGGAACUGGGGGAAGUGAAACAUCUCAGUACCCUGAGGAAGAGAAAUCAAACGAGAUUCUCCUAGUAGUGGCGAACGAACGGGGAUGAGCCUAAACCGACGGACUUAGUGGCCCGGUAGCCUAUGUCCGAUCGGGGUUGUAAGUCGCGAGAUGAGAGAUGCCGGUUUCUCGAUAGAGUGACAAAUCUGAUCCUUAGCUGAAGGUCUCUGGAAAGAGCCACCAUAGAGGGUGAUAGUCCCGUAGGCGAAAAGGAAAAGACUCUACACGUGUACUUGAGUACCACGGGACACGUGGAAUCCUGUGGGAAGCUGGGGGGACCACCCUCCAAGGCUAAACACUCUUGACGACCGAUAGUGAACAAGUACCGUGAGGGAAAGGCGAAAAGAACCCCGGGAGGGGAGUGAAAUAGAACCUGAAACCACGUGCCUACAAGCAGUCGAAGUCUGUCGCAAGACGGAUGACGGCGUGCCUAUUGAAGAAUUAGCCGGCGAGUUAAUCUUUGUGGCUGGUUAAGUCAUUAAGUGACGGAGCCAAA